GGCCCUUACGACCAGGGCUACACACGUGCUACAAUGGCGCAUACAAAGAGAAGCGACCUCGCGAGAGCAAGCGGACCUCAUAAAGUGCGUCGUAGUCCGGAUUGGAGUCUGCAACUCGACUCCAUGAAGUCGGAAUCGCUAGUAAUCGUGGAUCAGAAUGCCACGGUGAAUACGUUCCCGGGCCUUGUACACACCGCCCGUCACACCAUGGGAGUGGGUUGCAAAAGUAGGUAGCUUAACCUUCGGGAGGGCGCUUACCACUUUGUGAUUCAUGACUGGGGUGAAGUCGUAACAAGGUAACCGUAGGGGAACCUGCGGUUGGAUCACCUCCUUACCUUAAAGAAGC
RNAcentral lists this ribosomal RNA (346 nucleotides) under Escherichia coli. RNAcentral's name for it is "bacterial SSU rRNA". It matches the Rfam family "Bacterial small subunit ribosomal RNA", at positions 1197 to 1533 of the family's 1533-position model. Lineage: Bacteria; Pseudomonadati; Pseudomonadota; Gammaproteobacteria; Enterobacterales; Enterobacteriaceae. The record is from RNAcentral.